Leucoraja erinaceus (little skate) is the source of this 1962-nucleotide long non-coding RNA. RefSeq lists it as uncharacterized. The transcript has 2 exons. The record is from RefSeq and is a predicted model, not a curated record. NCBI's taxonomy places the organism in Eukaryota, Metazoa, Chordata, Chondrichthyes, Rajiformes, Rajidae.
AAAUCAAGUUUGCAAGUCAGUCUACUGUCAGACUUAAAUAUCAUUUCGCAUUUGCAGAGCUUAUUACAUGACCUGAGGUUGUAAUGAUGUUUACAUAUAAAGAAUAAUGUUUCAAAUCAAGUCAUUGGGGAAAUUCAGAAAAGGUAGUAGCAAUCUGCACACAACACAGACCUACAUGUGGUAAAGACCAGAUAAUGUUUUAGUGGUACAAAUAUUCUUCAGAAAGUUGGAGACAAGUCCACUGCUCCUGAACAUUUUGUCACUGAAUAUUUUCUGUAAACCUUGUGUGGCUCAGCGGUAUAGUAGCUGCCUUACAGCGGCGGAGACCUGGGUUUGAUUCUGACUACGGGUGCUGUCUGUAUGGAGUUUAUAUGUUCUCCUGUGACCUGCGUGGGUUUUCUCUGGAAUCUCUGGAUUCCUACCACCCCACUCCAAAGCCCUACAGGUUUGCAGGCUAAUUGGCUUGGUAUAAUUGUAAAUUGUGUUACCCAGUGGGGUGGAAGAUUGCAACCUUCACGUGGUCUGCCCUGUUUCGACGAAUGCAAUCAACCCAGCGUGCACAAUGAAAUAAGAUCAAAUAGAACAAGCUGUCCUACAACUUUAGGCUGUGCACGGCAUAGGCAAGAAGAAGAAGGAGGGGUGUUUCCCAGUGUGUGGGGAUCGCUGGUCGGAGUGGACUCGAUGCUGGAAUCUUGAGUAAAACACAAAAUGUUGGAGUAACUCAGCAGGUCAAGCAGCAUCUCAGGAGGACAGGAAUAGGCGAUGUUCCGGAUCGCCUAUCUUUAGACUGGGACCCUUCAUCAUAUAUAUUUACACAAGGAAAUGGAGGGAUAUGGAUCGCAUGUAAACAGAGAUAGUUUAACUUGGCAUCAUGUUUGACAUGGACCUUGUGGGCCGAAAGGCCUGUUCCUGUGGUGUACUAUUCCAAAUUCCUCUUCCCACAAAUGCAGCCUGACCUGCUAAAUGUGUCCAGUAUUUUCAAUUUAUAUGAAAGGAUUCAGUAUCUGAUCCAAGUUCUACCUUUGCUGUUUUGGUAUAUAGCCUUUAAAAAAUGAUUUACACUUCAAAUUACUGGGUAAGAUAAGUUAAACCUAUCAAUGAACCCAGAUCUAUUAAGGCGUUAUUGAGCCCCAAAUCACAUCAUAUCAAGAGCAGUUGAUCUGUCAGGUGGAGCAGAAUGGACAGAGCUUGGAGGUAUUGUCACUGCAGCUUUAGGUCAUAUCUCAGGAUGCUGUGCAUCAGUCAAGAGUGCCAGGGUGAAAAAAAACACUCUCAUUUUAUCACGCUCUGUGCCAAGAUUUAAUCUCAUGGUUGGACUUCAUUUAAGGAACCCAGAAUUAAAGACAGUGAUCGUAAAUCAUGAACUCCAGACAUCUCUUUCAAAUGGAACGAUAAAAUAAUUGCAGUGGACGUCAGAAUUGGUUUUGAGGAUAAUAAUGGGUCCCACGGUGAGAAACAGUGAAUAAAUAUCUUCACCCUAAGUCCAUAAUCAAGUUGAAAUUUAAUUCCGUGGAAGCUGUUUUCAGUUUUAUUGUUGUUACUAGGGGGAAAAAAUGAUUCCCUGAUAAUGACAGUAAGAUACGGUUUUCCAAGAUCAAUAGGUUUAAGGAUAUUAAUUCUUGUAUUUCAACAUCGACAAUUUACGACAUCAUCGACAUUGUUCAAAGUUUCAUGCAUUGUCACACUUAUUUUUGCCAUCCUUACAAUUGCUAUUAUCUCUAUUUCACUGUUUAUAAUUAGAGGCGAAAUGUAUCUAAUUUGUGAUUUUUCCUUUCUGGAUUUGUGUUGUUUCAACAUAAUAAUGUAUUUUAUGGUCACGACUAUAUUUAAAUGGUUGGAUUUCUGUUGGUGGCAUUCAUCAAUAGUGGGUUCUGCUCCUAUCAUGUAGAAACAAGGAAAUGCCGAUACCUUUGGGUUAUGUAUCUGUGAACAUAUGGCAAUAAAAACGCUCUUGACUCUUCA